AAGACAUUAGUAAAUUUGUACAUUACACCACUUUGUCAAGGUGGAAUCGUAGGUUAAACUCCUGCAUGUCUUA
RNAcentral lists this transfer RNA (73 nucleotides) under Pangio oblonga (Java loach). RNAcentral describes it as "tRNA-Asp". It matches the Rfam family "tRNA". From Rfam's summary of the family: Transfer RNA (tRNA) molecules are approximately 80 nucleotides in length. The record is from RNAcentral. Lineage: Eukaryota; Metazoa; Chordata; Actinopteri; Cypriniformes; Cobitidae.